This 142-nucleotide unclassified non-coding RNA is filed under the name uncultured Pestalotiopsis. Lineage: Eukaryota; Fungi; Ascomycota; Sordariomycetes; Amphisphaeriales; Amphisphaeriaceae. The record is from RNAcentral.
UAGAGUUUUCUAACCUCCCAACCCAUGUGAACUUACCUUUUGUUGCCUCGGCAGAAGUUAUAGGUCUUCUUAUAGCUGCUGCCGGUGGACCAUUAAACUCUUGUUAUUUUAUGUAAUCUGAGCGUCUUAUUUUAAUAAGUCA